AAACAUGGCUCUUUGAAUUAUUUUUAUAAAGAGUCAGGCCUGCCCAGUGAAAUUUGUUUUAACGGCCGCGGUACUCUGACCGUGCAAAGGUAGCAUAAUCAUUUGCCUUAUAAUUGAAGGCUAGUAUGAAUGGUUUAACGAGAGCAACACUGUCUCUUUUUUAUUUUCAAGAACUUAACCUUUAGGUGAAGAGGCCUAAAUUUUAUUGGAGGACAAGAAGACCCUGUCGAGCUUAAAAGACAUCAUAGAAGUUUAUAUAUAUAUUUAAAUAAAUUUUCUAUUAAGCUUUUUAGUUGGGGCGACUAAGGAACAAAAAAAGCUUCUUAAAUAAAACAAACUCUCAAGUUUUGAUCCGACAACAGUCGAUCUAGGAAAUUAGUUACCGCAGGGAUAACAGCAUAAUCUCUCUUGAGAGAUCUAAUCGAAAGAGGGGGUUGUGACCUCGAUGUUGGACUAAAAUAUCCUAAAGAUGUAGAAGUCUUUAAGGGUUGGUCUGUUCGACCAUUAAAAUUUUACGUGAUC
RNAcentral lists this ribosomal RNA (522 nucleotides) under Leptoxis ampla. Its description in RNAcentral is "partial 16S ribosomal RNA". It matches the Rfam family "Bacterial large subunit ribosomal RNA", at positions 1811 to 2605 of the family's 2925-position model. Lineage: Eukaryota; Metazoa; Mollusca; Gastropoda; Pleuroceridae. The record is from RNAcentral.